This 468-nucleotide ribosomal RNA is filed under the name uncultured bacterium. RNAcentral describes it as "partial 16S ribosomal RNA". It matches the Rfam family "Bacterial small subunit ribosomal RNA", at positions 28 to 507 of the family's 1533-position model. The record is from RNAcentral.
GACGAACGCUGGCGGCGUGCUUAACACAUGCAAGUCGAACGGAAAGGCCCUGCUUUUGUGGGGUGCUCGAGUGGCGAACGGGUGAGUAACACGUGAGUAACCUGCCCUUGACUUUGGGAUAACUUCAGGAAACUGGGGCUAAUACCGGAUAGGAGCUCCUGCUGCAUGGUGGGGGUUGGAAAGUUUCGGCGGUUGGGGAUGGACUCGCGGCUUAUCAGCUUGUUGGUGGGGUAGUGGCUUACCAAGGCUUUGACGGGUAGCCGGCCUGAGAGGGUGGCCGGCCAAAAUGGGGCUGAGGAAAGGGCCCAGACCCUAAGGGAGGGAAGAGUGGGGGAUAAUGCACAAAGGGGCGAAAGCUGGAGGAAGAAACGCGGGUGCGGGAAGACGGCCUUUGGGGUGUGAACCGCUUUCGCCUGUGACGAAGCGUGAGUGACGGUAAUGGGUAAAGAAGCACCGGCUAACUACGUG